RNAcentral lists this non-coding RNA (23 nucleotides) under Mus musculus (house mouse). Lineage: Eukaryota; Metazoa; Chordata; Mammalia; Rodentia; Muridae. The record is from RNAcentral.
CAGCAGGUGUUUAAUGGGAAGAA